UUUUUGUUGUUGUUUUUCUGUGUUCUACAUGCUUUCUCCUCUUUUUUCCAAAGGCUUUCAAAAAGUGGUGGACACAAAAUCAACUUUAGUAAAAAGUGGGGAUGACUACCCACCCACAUCCGCAGAAGACACUUAUGAAAAGAACAAGAUAAGAUUUUAUCUGAAGAAUAAAAUGUAAAAAAAAAAAAAAAUGAGUGGUGGGGUGGAGACAGAGAACUCUUGAUAAAUGCGGUGGUAUUUGCUUUCCAUCUCAUUAUUAAUUGGAGCAGAGCAGAAGGAUGAAGUUCAGCAGCGCUCUGAGUGUUGCUGCGAUCACACUUCUCUACACAGCAGGUUCCCUCUGCCAGUCAGAAGUGUGUGGUCGAG
Cyprinus carpio (common carp) is the source of this 366-nucleotide long non-coding RNA. RefSeq lists it as uncharacterized. NCBI's taxonomy places the organism in Eukaryota, Metazoa, Chordata, Actinopteri, Cypriniformes, Cyprinidae. The record is from RefSeq and is a predicted model, not a curated record. The transcript is spliced from 3 exons.